AUUGAACGCUGGCGGCAUGCUUUACACAUGCAAGUCGAGCGGCAGCGCGUGCUUCGGCCUGGACGCGAGUGGAGAACGGGUGAGUAAUGCCUCGACACGUGCCCACUAGUGGGGGAUAGCCCGGCGAAAGCCGGUUUAAUACCGCAUACGCCCUGAGGGUGAAAGCGGGGUACCCGAACGCCUCGCGCUAUUGGAGCGGCCGAUGUCGGAUUAGAUAGUUGGUGGGGUAAAGGCUUACCAAGGCGACGAUGCGUAGCUGGUCUGAGAGGACGAUCAGCCACACUGGGACUGAGACACGGCCCAGACUCCUACGGGAGGCAGCAGUGGGGAAUUUUGGACAAUGGGGGCAACCCUGAUCCAGCCAUGCCGCGUGCGGGAAGAAGGCCUUCGGGUUGUAAACCGCUUUUGUUCGGGAAGAAAUCCUCUGGGCUAAUAAACCGGGGGGAUGACGGUACCGUAAGAAUAAGCACCGGCUAACUACGUG
This 484-nucleotide ribosomal RNA is filed under the name uncultured bacterium. RNAcentral describes it as "partial 16S ribosomal RNA". It matches the Rfam family "Bacterial small subunit ribosomal RNA", at positions 29 to 507 of the family's 1533-position model. The record is from RNAcentral.